GGAAUGCUUUUUGGUCGGACAACUGAGGUCUGCAUGCAUUGAUUGACCAAACCGAGGUGUCGUUGGAUAAUACUUUGUAAUCAUAUCUUAUUUUAAAAUUGGGCAGCUAACUUGGAAGGUAUAUUAGAAGCAGCCCAAACAGAUGAGGUUUUUAAGUGUUUGUUUGGGAGAAAUUCCAUGUACACAUAUCGGGAGUCGUUUGAAAAUGGACUAAAGAAUUGCAAUCACUUCUGCGAUGAAUUUUGCGACAGACUGGUGUCCCUAAACUUCCAGACUGAGUGAACAGGUUUGGUAAUGCUGGCGACACUGCUCUAGAGAUAGUUAACUGCUUUCCGGGUGAGAGUGUUUUUUCAUCUUUUUUAUUGUUUGGCAGCCACUAAAAUCUUAGGGUGACAACAUGACCCUUUUUUGAUGAAUAGGUUGAUUUAGGCAAAAAGAAUUCGCUAUACUGUUCAUAAUUUAAAGUUUAUAUUUUAUUUGUAAUUGUAAUGUAAUUGUAAUUUGGUUUGUAGCCUUUUGUUUAACUGAGAUUUUUUCUACUUCGAAUAAUGUUGAGCACGAAAAGUAUGAUGUCUUCUCCCAUUGCUAACAAUUAUUAUUUUAUUAUAACAGAAAAUUGAAGCAUCUCAAUCAGAUGAAUCACCAUCAAUUUUACAACUUAGUUAUAAGCUUGGUGUUCAUUCUCUUAAAUCUUAGUAGUCCCCAACCAGGACAUGUACUUAUUAUAUAAAGUUGUGUUUUUUUUUUAGUUUUACGGGUGCACACCAGCUGUUCAACGUUUUGCUUGUGUGAGUGAAUUGUUGGUUUUGGAUGAUGAUUGUUUGUUGUUUUGCUUGGGUGUUGGUGCAGUAACGUAAAGGUGGUUAAUAUAAUAAAUGAGAAUAAAGGGCGUAAGCAUACUAGCCCUUUGGCAAUUUGUGUUGGUGAUGUGAAGGACUGGUGGUUUGUUGUUACGGACCAUUUGCAUGUUGGCUUGGUUGAGGGUCUUCUUCCUAGGUCGGUGACUGUGGUGCUAACACGAGGUUUGGUUACCAAUUGUAGACUUUAUAUGGUUUUUUCAGAUUUUCAAUAGUUUUGGAUAUUUGACGUAGUGAUAGUCAUUAGCUGUUGAAACUUACUGAACCGACCAGCAAGUUGACUGGUUUGGCAUGUUUGAAGUUUUAACGGUUUACUAUUUGGAAAAGCGGGUAUAAUGGUUCCGUUCAUCAUAUGAAACUUGGCCCCGGAUAUGUAAAAUGAACCGACCGUUUUUUGGAUUAUAUAUUUGUGCAUACUGAUAAUGUUCAUGAAAACCAUCGUUAUCAUUUAAGAAAAAAUUAAUACAAAGUUACAAACUAAGGAUUUUGAUUUAGAAAGGCUGGUUCAAACCGCCACACUGAACCCUUUCUGAUGGCCUGGCUGACCCAACCAACCCACCCAAUUUGGUUUGUCGUUUUCAGAAACCGUAGUAGUUAGAGGUCUGCUCUAGAAUUUUCAUUAAAACCGGCUGAACGGGAUCACCUUUAAGCUGACGAAUAGUGAAGCAUUUUACUUACAACUAUGUGUUAAGUCAAGCGUUGCAACUAUGUGUUAAGUCAAGCCUUGCAACUAGGGGUAUUCGAGUCUAGCUAAACCCGAGCUUGCUUAACUCGUGAAAAAAAUAUGUAUAAGUUGUCAGCUUUUGCUGCCUUGCUUAUGGCACGUGACGGCAAUGUCUUCUCCAGGUACACAAACCCUGGCCGCUAGAGUAAAUGAUGAAGACUCCACUUCUUUAGAUUCAAAGAAAUCGGAACGAUUCAGGACGAUGAAAGAUGGUCUAAUUGAGGGACGAUUUGGGACCACAAAAGAUGGCCAAAUUAGGUCGUGGAAGGAAGGGAAAUGACAUAAUUCUCAUCAAAAGGUUGAUGAAAUUGUGGAUAGAUAUCGACAUAUGGUAUUGAGAUGCGGGUAAGUUUAGAGUUAAGAUAAAAGAAUUAGGGAGCAUUCUCUCAAUUUUUGGCUACGCAGGUAUGUAAAUUUAUAUCAAUCAUUGUUUGUUACUUAUAUUGAUUAUUGAUCUUUAUGUUGAGCAUUCUCUCAACUUUUGUUUUCACAAUUUAUAUUGUAGGUUUUUUUAUUAAGUUUCUUAUAUUAAUUAUUGAUUUUUAUAUAUUUUUAACCAAAAAAUAUCAUGACAAUUUGAAAUAAAAAGUUAUGAGUUGGGUCAAAAUCAAAAGUUAUACACUGGAUCAAUUCGAAAGGUAAAAAAACGUAAUACUUAAGGGGCACAGUUUUAGAAUUUCUUGGGGCCUCCAGAAGUCUUAAGUCAGCCUUGGUCAAAAAGUUAAUUAAGAUUGAGCAGGUAUGAUUAAUUAUGCUGAUAUGGUUUUGUAAGUUUUUUAUGAUGUCUUUACCAUUUCCUUAUAAAUAUUGUAGGCUCCAUCUUCAUUUCUACAAGCCAUGGAAAUAUAUGUAAAAGAACCACUCCGUGCUUCUAAUUUCGAAAAGACCUGGUACGGUGUUGUUGGAUGGCAUGACAUUAUUGAAGCCGAAUAUAUUUCGUUAAGAGAUGAUUGUUUUUUCAAUGGAUCUAAAACGAAUUCGAGGUUAUUG
Molecule: long non-coding RNA, 2571 nt
Filed under: Helianthus annuus (common sunflower)
Lineage: Eukaryota; Viridiplantae; Streptophyta; Magnoliopsida; Asterales; Asteraceae
Description: hypothetical non coding rna
Source: RNAcentral